GAUUUAUGUCUCGUUGGUGACCAGCGGAGGGUCAUUACCGAGUUUACAACUCCCAAACCCCUGUGAACAUACCUUAUGUUGCCUCGGCGGAUCAGCCCGCGCCCCGUAAAAAGGGACGGCCCGCCGCAGGAACCCUAAACUCUGUUUUUAGUGGAACUUCUGAGUAUAAAAAACAAAUAAAUCAAAACUUUCAACAACGGAUCUCUUGGUUCUGGCAUCGAUGAAGAACGCAGCAAAAUGCGAUAAGUAAUGUGAAUUGCAGAAUUCAGUGAAUCAUCGAAUCUUUGAACGCACAUUGCGCCCGCCAGUAUUCUGGCGGGCAUGCCUGUUCGAGCGUCAUUUCAACCCUCAAGCCCAGCUUGGUGUUGGGAGCUGCAGUCCUGCUGCACUCCCCAAAUACAUUGGCGGUCACGUCGAGCUUCCAUAGCGUAGUAAUUUACACAUCGUUACUGGUAAUCGUCGCGGCCACGCCGUUAAACCCCAACUUCUGAAUGUUGACCUCGGAUCAGGUAGGAAUACCCGCUGAACUUAAGCAUAUCAU
RNAcentral lists this ribosomal RNA (541 nucleotides) under Fusarium graminearum. RNAcentral's name for it is "eukaryotic LSU rRNA". The stretch from base 186 to 339 matches the Rfam family "5.8S ribosomal RNA". Lineage: Eukaryota; Fungi; Ascomycota; Sordariomycetes; Hypocreales; Nectriaceae. The record is from RNAcentral.